UACGUAGGGUGCAAGCGUUGUCCGGAAUUAUUGGGCGUAAAGGGCUCGUAGGCGGUCUGUCACGUCGGGAGUGAAAACUCAGGGCUUAACCCUGAGCCUGCUUCCGAUACGGGCAGACUAGAGGUAUGCAGGGGAGAACGGAAUUCCUGGUGUAGCGGCGAAAUGCGCAGAUAUCAGGAGGAACACCGGUGGCGAAGGCGGUUCUCUGGGCAUUACCUGACGCUGAGGAGCGAAAGUGUGGGGAGCGAACAGG
RNAcentral lists this ribosomal RNA (253 nucleotides) under uncultured bacterium. RNAcentral's name for it is "partial 16S ribosomal RNA". It matches the Rfam family "Bacterial small subunit ribosomal RNA", at positions 524 to 776 of the family's 1533-position model. The record is from RNAcentral.